RNAcentral lists this ribosomal RNA (448 nucleotides) under uncultured bacterium. Its description in RNAcentral is "bacterial SSU rRNA". It matches the Rfam family "Bacterial small subunit ribosomal RNA", at positions 28 to 456 of the family's 1533-position model. The record is from RNAcentral.
GAUGAACGCUGGCGGCGUGCUUAACACAUGCAAGUCGAACGAAGCACUUUAUUUGAUUUCCUUCGGGACUGAUUAUUUUGUGACUGAGUGGCGGACGGGUGAGUAACGCGUGGGUAACCUGCCUUGUACAGGGGGAUAACAGUUGGAAACGGCUGCUAAUACCGCAUAAGCGCACAGCACCGCAUGGUGCAGUGUGAAAAACUCCGGUGGUGUGAGAUGGAUCCGCGUCUGAUUAGCUUGUUGGCGGGGUAACGGCCCACCAAGGCGACGAUCAGUAGCCGGCCUGAGAGGGCGACCGGCCACAUUGGGACUGAGACACGGCCCAGACUCCUACGGGAGGCAGCAGUGGGGAAUAUUGCACAAUGGGGGAAACCCUGAUGCAGCGACGCCGCGUGAGCGAUGAAGUAUUUCGGUAUGUAAAGCUCUAUCAGCAGGGAAGAUAAUGACG